GACAGAGGUGCCAAGCGUUAGGCGGAAUCACUGGGCUUAAAGCGUGUGUAGGCGGAUCGUUAAGUACCUUGUGAAAUCCCACGGCUCAACCGUGGAACUGCUGGGUAUACUGGCGAUCUUGAGCCACCUAGGGGCGAGCGGAACAAACGGUGGAGCGGUGAAAUGCGUAGAUAUCGUUUGGAACGCCAACGGUGAAAACAGCUCGCUGGGGGUGUGCUGACGCUGACACACGAAAGCCAGGGGAGCGAACGGG
RNAcentral lists this ribosomal RNA (253 nucleotides) under uncultured bacterium. Its description in RNAcentral is "partial 16S ribosomal RNA". It matches the Rfam family "Bacterial small subunit ribosomal RNA", at positions 524 to 776 of the family's 1533-position model. The record is from RNAcentral.